This 439-nucleotide ribosomal RNA is filed under the name uncultured bacterium. RNAcentral's name for it is "partial 16S ribosomal RNA". It matches the Rfam family "Bacterial small subunit ribosomal RNA", at positions 339 to 795 of the family's 1533-position model. The record is from RNAcentral.
CUACGGGAUGCUGCAGUGAGGAAUAUUGCACAAUGGGGGGAACCCUGAUGCAGCAACGCCGCGUGGAGGAUGACGCAUUUCGGUGUGUAAACUCCUUUUAUAUGUCAAGAAAAUGACGGUAGCAUAUGAAUAAGCACCGGCUAACUCCGUGCCAGCAGCCGCGGUAAUACGGAGGGUGUAAGCGUUACUCGGAAUCACUGGGCGUAAAGGACGCGUAGGCGGGUUGGAAAGUCAGGUGUGAAAUCCUACAGCUUAACUGUAGAACUGCACUUGAAACUUCUAAUCUAGAGUAUGGGAGGGGGAGAUGGAAUUAGUGGUGUAGGGGUAAAAUCCGUAGAUAUCACUAGGAAUACCUAAAGCGAAGGCGAUCUCCUGGAACAUUACUGACGCUAGGGCGUGAAAGCGUGGGGAGCAAACAGGAUUAGAUACCCUGGUAGUC